ACCUCUAUUCAUUUUGCCCAAAACUCUCUCCCUGUCUCUAUAUGAAAUUUCCAAACCCUAAUCUCCAAAAAUUAGAAAUGAAAGUUUGAUCGGGAGGUAUAAACCUUAACUUUCAUAGUCUCCGCAAAAUCAUUUUCUUGGUUUCUUCUUUUAUCACUAUAAACCCUAACUUUCAAUCGGUAAAGAAGAAAUUGGAAGCUGAAUUGGAAAAAUGUCAAGGAUUCCGGAAGAGAUCAUCUACAAUGAAAUUCUAUUGAGGUUACCAGUUAAACCAUUACUUAAAUUUAAGUGUGUUUGCAAGAAAUGGAGGAUGGUCAUGAAAUAGGAACAUGAACGUAAUAACAAGGGUGGAUUUGCAAGGAGUUUUCUCCAGCAGGCUCUAGUUACAGGGAAAGUUUUGGUUUAGAUGUUGGCAGCUGACAGCAUUCUAAAUUUACGAGUUGUUUUUCUUUCCCAAUUAGGGAUGAGGAGAUUGAAGAAGAUAGAGCUAAUUAUCAGCUUGAAAUGAUGAGAUCUUGAGAGAGGUUAAUUCCGACAACAGCAUUGUUGGGUGGAAAACAUUAAACGAUGUGUUUGUCAUAUAUGAUCCAGCAAUGUCCAAUCAAGGCGUUUUAGCUCUCAAGGCUAUGAAGCUCACAUAUUCUUUCAUGGAACGUCUAUCCAGUGUGACUAUGACCUUCUGCAAUUAUCGACCAAACAAUUUAGGUAAUGAAAUGUGGAGUUUCUGAUUGAAUGCAUGGACAGGGCCUGUCAAUGGAGCAGCAGAAAAAUGGAAAGAUUUUUCUGAAUCCACCCCACAAUUAGCUUUCCUUCUAGUAAAAGUGGCUCUCCCCCUAACAAAUAUCUUUAUGAAUUCAUUGUUUUCAUACACGAUACUGGUAUAACAUACUGUCUUUUGUUUUUCCUUUACUUCCGAUAUUGGUAUAACAUACUGAAGCCUUUCAUGUCAGCAAGCGCAACAGCACACAUGGCUUCAAUAGAGAAGGGACGAGAACAUUCUGCAACCUGGGUUUUUUGAACUGCUAUGUUGAAUUUUCCAGGGGUACUUGUGUCCAGAGCUUCAGCAGACAUUAUAUCUCAUGAAGGGGCACUGCAAGAAAUUGAGUUGGGAACUGCAGAGGUUGAGACAGACAAAAACCUUCUUUUCCUUUCAAAAUGUAGUCGCAGUAGGGUGAAGUUAGACGGUUGAGGUUCUUCUAUGGCUGUGCCUCUAUGGGUUUCUUGCUACAUGUUUUUGACUCUUCUUCCUUGCAUUUAUGGCCAUUUUACUUCGGUUUUUUGGUGGUUCAAGUACUCGUCGGAGCUCGGGUCACAGAAAUCUGGAAUCAUCGGUUGAUAGAAGAAAAUGAUGGUGAUAUGAAGUUUUUAUGUCUUUGGAACCCAGCCACCAGAGAGUAUAAGAAAAUACCGGAACAACCGAUUGGAAAUAAUGGAAUGUCUGCAAUAAUAUGCUUUGGGUUAUGAUCACAAGACUGAUGAUUACAAGUUGGCAGUAGGUGUAACAGCUCCUCGAAGCAAGGAUAUAGUAUCCCAAUUCUAUUCGUUAGCAUCAAAUUCAUGGAAACCUGGGCCAACUAUGCCUUAUGUGUUUCGUUAUUGUGUGCAGAGGCAUGGAGUGCUUGUUAAUGGAUACCAUCAUUGGUUAGUGAAGGCUCAAUGUAAGUUCUUACUCUCUUUGGAUAUCACUGACGAGAGUUUCAAAGAGAUGCAACUACCGAAAGAACUUUCGGAGAGUCAGGAGGAUUUUAAUUUUAUGAUUCUGGGAUUGUUGGAAGGGUGCCUUUGCAUAUUUGACAGGUCAUAUGCUAAUGGUGUUCAGAUUAAUGUUGAAGUAUGGGAGAUGCUGGAUUAUGGAGUUCAUGAGUCUUGGACUCGACGCUAUAUCAUUACUAAUGAGAGCAUUAUCAAGGGCCAUAUUUUAGAUUUAGUUGCCUUGUGGUCUUUUGAGAAUGGUAAAAUUCUAUUCUUGAAUUCCGGUAUACUAGUUUUGUACGACCCAGAAAAUGGAAGUGCUAGAAAACUAAAUAACGAUGAGAGUUUCAACAGGACUACUGGGAAUUACUUUGAAAGCUUAGUUUCUCUCGAGUCUGGUACUUAUGUUGGGGGAGAAGAGCAAAUAGAUGAAUUAGAGAAACCUGAAGAAGAAGAAUAAGUUAUAGAAGGAAGAAAAAUUGGUGAAGUUGUAUAUGUUAUUGUUCUUGCUGUUGCAUAUUCCUGCAGUUGUUGGUAAUGAGUUAUGAAAUUAGUAAUAUGCUUUCUUCUAAUUUGUAGACCCUUACCUUAAUAUAUAUCAUGGGUUUCUCUUAAAAUCAUUAAU
Papaver somniferum (opium poppy) is the source of this 2317-nucleotide RNA transcript. RefSeq lists it as uncharacterized. The transcript has 6 exons. Lineage: Eukaryota; Viridiplantae; Streptophyta; Magnoliopsida; Ranunculales; Papaveraceae. The record is from RefSeq and is a predicted model, not a curated record.